This 596-nucleotide long non-coding RNA is filed under the name Homo sapiens (human). Its description in RNAcentral is "HSALNT0194250". Lineage: Eukaryota; Metazoa; Chordata; Mammalia; Primates; Hominidae. The record is from RNAcentral.
CAGAGGGCAGCAAACCUUUUCUGUCAGGGGCAGAUAGUAAAUAUUGUAAACUUUGCAUUGCAACAACUCUGCUGCCAUUGUAGCAGGAAAGCAGCAAAGACAAUACAUAAAUGAAAGAUGUAGCUGUGUUCCAAUACCACUUUCUUUACAAAAACAGGCAGCGGGGCUGCAGGCCGUAGUUUGCCAACCCCUGCCCUAGACAGGGCCUGGCUGACACACUGCAGAUUUUCAAUAAAAAUGGACCAAAUGAAUGAGUUCUUAACUGAAAUCAACAAGAAUGCAUUGAGCACCUAUUCUGUUUUACAGAGAAAACUGUUGACCUUCAACAUAUUUGCUUGCAGUUUUUCUCUGCUUCCUGAGCUUCGACAACCCGGCCAGCGUGCAGACCGCCAUCCAGGCCAUGAACGGCUUCCAGGUCAGCAUGAAGAGGCUCCAGGUGCAGCUGAAGCGGCCCAAAGGCACCAGUUGCCUGGACUGAGCACCCGUGGGAGCAUCUCCCGCGGGAGAGCAGGACUCGAACAGGGCAGGAUGCUGAACGGGCUCCCUUUAAAAACCUGCACAUGUAUAUCGGAACUUCAAACCAAAUUAAAUAAAUA